UUAUCUAGCUCUACUAGGACUUAAAGGAAGAGCAAGUUGAACAUUUCCCCUUCCCAGACUCCACAGAUUCCUCAGAGGAAGAGUACCUUGUGCACAGAUUAUGUAGAGUAGAAGAGUCUGGCAAUCUGUUGUGUGUCCCUUCAUUCAUAAAUUUAGGAAAUUAAUAAUUUAAUUUAUUCCACAAUCACAAUUUAACAAAUCCUUCUAAUGCUGAUACUGCCUUUCUUAUGUUUUUAUUUCAUUCUUUUAAUCUAACCUCUUCAGGUUCCUUUGAUGAUCCAGAGGAUGAGCUACAUCACUGAAAGCACUGUCUGGAAAUUAUUAGUGAAAUGCUUUAGGAGACUGACUUGCCAUGAAGCCUAAUGCAUGUGAAGUAGCCUGCACCUCUUGUCACGACCAUGCGUUGAUAGCUCAGCUCAUGCCUCUGUCUUAAUGGAGCACGUUUCCAGACUCGGACAAGCACCUGAAGAACAAACUGAAAAAGCUAGUUUAUAAUUGUCAUUUUCUGAUGGCAAAGCUACGAAAAAAAGUGGCAGUGCUGGGUGUUCAGCCAACUGCUAACUAUAACCAUGCUGGAAAGAGGCUGAACCACAAGAGCCAUGUUUAAUUUGCACAUCGAAGGAGGCCGCUGAGAAUGGGCUGGGGAAACCUCGAGAAAACACAACACUAUGAUUUCAUUUACAGUUUCAUUGUAAAAGAAGCCUAAAAAGUCACUGCUGAAAGUCAGCUUUGCCUGGUGAUUUUUCUCUUGUUGAACUGAGGGUGAUGUAGCACAGGGCCUAAGCGACAGGAAGAGAAAGGUUUGGAAGGUGACUCACUACCUUUUUCACAAGCAGAGGCAAGCACUUGGUAAUUAUGGGGAAUAUGAAAUUAAUACUUAGACAGCCUCAUAGCUGCCUUUUAAUAAUAAGUAAGACUACUUCGUCUGGUGGCAUAACACUGUACAUUUGAAAGAGCUGUCCUACAAGGAGACUGCAUUUUCCCCAGCAAUGGAAAGAUGCUGAACAGUCAUCACAUAGCAAUACAUGUUCUGAGUUUCUGUGCUUCCUGCUCAUAACAGACAUGAAAAGGAAAAAUCAAGGCUAAUAACAAGUUAGUAAAGAAGGGAUUCCUACCUUAAGGCCUCUGAGUGCUUAGCUCAAAUAUAAUUAAAAACAAGAGUUUAAAGGAAAAAAACAGCCUUGUCCAGUAAGCAGAACAAUCAUAAAUUUAUCCUGUCUGGGAAGACACAACCUUUCCAGAGUAUCUGAAUAUAAUUAAAGAAAGCACCUAGCAACCCUGCACACACUUCAAUAUGUUUGGCCACUGGCUCCAAGCAGUUCAUAUGUCAGGAGAAAGGAGCCUGGGCUGCUUACACGUGUAUGUGGAAAAUUUUCGCAUGUGUGUGGAAACAGUUAAAAAUCACUGGAAGUCCAUACCCAUCUUUUCAGGGUGAUAUCAUGCCAGUGUUGACUCUUCUUUCAACUCAUCUGAUCUUAGUCACCACACUAACAGGUAGGUCAACAGGCAACACCACAGAUUUGCCUGAUACUUUUUCAGUUUUGCAUGCCACAGUGGUUCUGUGUUUGCUGUCAGCCCUAUCAGAGGCAAGCAGUGAACACAUCUUUCCAAGUAGUGUGGCACUGCUGAUUCACAGCGAGAGUGCUGCACACUGUCCUCUUGCCAUUCUAGGCACAACCCACACUCCACAUAGCAGCCCCAUGUGCAGGGCACUACUGCUGGUUGCCUGGAGAAGUUGUGGAUGCCCAAUCCCUGGAAAUGUUCCAGGCCAGCUUGGAUAGGGCCCUGAGAAACCUAAUCUAGUGGGUGGCAUUCCUGAUUAUGGCAGGGCGUUGAAACUAAAGGAUGUUUAAGGACCCUUCCAACCCAAAUCAUUCUAUGAUUCCAUGAUUCAAUGAUUUUCAAUAAUGCUAGAUGUGAACCCCUGGAAUGAGAUGUGAAGGCCAUAUCUUCCAACAUUUUCAAGUUGAAAGAGUUGUUUCUGACCAUACAUUAAAUUUGUUCCCAUAUUCAAUUGACUGAUAGGGGAAGGAAGACAAAGACACCUCUUUGAAACCCUGGGAACCCUCUUGCCUCAAACCAGUUGCAACAGGAUGGAUGCCAUCAUACGGGUGAACGCCUUUAGAAAUGUUUUAGCUAUUCCUCAGAUUCUUCUGAUUGGCUUCAACUGCUUGAUUCCCACUUCUGAGUGCCAAGCAAGU
Taeniopygia guttata (zebra finch) is the source of this 2201-nucleotide non-coding RNA. NCBI's taxonomy places the organism in Eukaryota, Metazoa, Chordata, Aves, Passeriformes, Estrildidae. The record is from RefSeq and is a predicted model, not a curated record.